This 285-nucleotide ribosomal RNA is filed under the name uncultured Bacteroidales bacterium. RNAcentral's name for it is "partial 16S ribosomal RNA". It matches the Rfam family "Bacterial small subunit ribosomal RNA", at positions 69 to 339 of the family's 1533-position model. Lineage: Bacteria; Pseudomonadati; Bacteroidota; Bacteroidia; Bacteroidales. The record is from RNAcentral.
UCACGAGGUAGCAAUACUUUGGUGGCGACCGGCGCACGGGUGCGUAACGCGUAUGCAACUUGCCUAUCAGGAGGGGGAUAACCCGGCGAAAGUCGGACUAAUACCGCAUGAAGCAGGGGCCCCGCAUGGUGAGAUUGCAUGAUAGCACCAUUAAAGAUUUAUUGGUAAACGAUGGGGAUGCGUUCCAUUAGGUAGUAGGCGGGGUAACGGCCCACCAAGCCUUCGAUGGAUAGGGGUUCUGAGAGGAAGGUCCCCACAUUGGAACUGAGACACGGUCCAAACUCC